GUGAAAUCCCUGGGCUUAACCUGGGCAGGUCAGAUGAUACUGUUUAACUCGAGUAUGGGAGAGGGUAGUGGAAUUUCCGGUGUAGCGGUGAAAUGCGUAGAGAUCGGAAGGAACACCAGUGGCGAAGGCGGCUACCUGGCCUAAUACUGACACUGAGGCACGAAAGCGUGGGGAGCAAACAGGAUUAGAUACCCCGGUAGUCCACGCCGUAAACGAUGUCAACUAGCUGUUGGUUAUAUGAAAAUAAUUAGUGGCGCAGCAAACGCGAUAAGUUGACCGCCUGGGGAGUACGGUCGCAAGAUUAAAACUCAAAGGAAUUGACGGGGGCCCGCACAAGCGGUGGAGCAUGUGGUUUAAUUCGAUGCAACGCG
RNAcentral lists this ribosomal RNA (371 nucleotides) under uncultured bacterium. RNAcentral describes it as "bacterial SSU rRNA". It matches the Rfam family "Bacterial small subunit ribosomal RNA", at positions 594 to 963 of the family's 1533-position model. The record is from RNAcentral.